UUAAAGGAUUGACGGGGAGCACUACAACGGGUGGAGCCUGCGGUUUAAUUGGACUCAACGCCGGAAAACUCACCGGGGCGACAGCAAUAUGUAGGUCAAGCUAAAGACUUUACCAGAAUCGCUGAGAGGAGGUGCAUGGCCGUCGUCAGUUCGUACUGUGAAGCAUCCUGUUAAGUCAGGCAACGAGCGAGACCCGUGCCCACUGUUGCCAGCAUGUCCUUCGGGACGAUGGGUACUCUGUGGGGACCGCCGAUGCUAAAUCGGAGGAAGGUGCGGGCUACGGUAGGUCAGUAUGCCCCGAAUCUCCCGGGCUACACGCGGGCUACAAUGACUGGGACAAUGGGCUCCUACCCCGAAAGGGGAUGGUAAUCUCAUAAACCCAGCCGUAGUUCGGAUCGAGGGCUGCAACCCGCCCUCGUGAAGCUGGAAUCCGUAGUAAUCACGUUUCAACAUAGCGCGGUGAAUACGUCCCUGCUCCUU
This 480-nucleotide ribosomal RNA is filed under the name uncultured Methanomethylovorans sp. RNAcentral's name for it is "bacterial SSU rRNA". It matches the Rfam family "Archaeal small subunit ribosomal RNA", at positions 856 to 1338 of the family's 1478-position model. The record is from RNAcentral. Lineage: Archaea; Methanobacteriati; Methanobacteriota; Methanomicrobia; Methanosarcinales; Methanosarcinaceae.